RNAcentral lists this long non-coding RNA (1436 nucleotides) under Capsicum annuum. RNAcentral's name for it is "long non-coding RNA (CANN_LNC014434)". The record is from RNAcentral. Lineage: Eukaryota; Viridiplantae; Streptophyta; Magnoliopsida; Solanales; Solanaceae.
AAAAAAACUUAAGCUUCCCAAUUAUACCAACAAAACUUCUACUUUUACAAUAAUCUAUUAUUUUCUUCUCUUCAUUCUUCUUCAUCCCUUUUGCAAGUCAACAAUAGCAAUAAAAUUAUUUCUAAAAAUUAGAAUAAACUCUCAAAAACACUUCUUCAUAAAUUAAACAAUAGAAAUGGUAUUAAUUUAAAAUCGAUUUAUCUAUAAGUCUUUUACUUAUUAAAGUCUUUGUUUCUAUUAUUAGUAAAAAAAAUUCUCCUUAUCUUCUUCAAAGUUGUUAUCAUUUAAAAUGUGAGGCGAAUUACCACAAAAAUUAGAUAGAUAUGUCAAGCCAUUCAAAGGAUACUUUUUCAUAAGAUAAAAAUCAGGCUUUAAUUAAGAAGGUAAUGAAUCAGUUAACAUAAUGCAUAUACUUUUAAGAAGAGCUUAAACCAGUGUAAAUCAUUAGGAAGACAAUAUAAUCGAUUUUACCGAUUUACAACUUGAUGAUCAAAUGUUGAUUCAAACAAGAUAAACAUCAAAGAGAUUUUAAACUGAAAUUAUUUAAGUGAAAAAUAUUUCUCAACCAAACUAGCCAAAGAAAAAGCAGUGAAAGACAUCUUGAGUGAAAUCACACAUUUUAACAAAAAGACACAUUUUAAGCAUGUGUUGAGACGUCUGAAUACACAAUAAUUCAACACCAACCUUUCUUACACAAUGAAGAAAUGUCUAAAUACGCAACAAUUCAACACCAAUAUUUUUUAAAUAAUGAAGAAAUUUAGAUGCAACUCUAUAUUAUCUAUCGGGAACAAUAGAAAUAGGAAGGCAUCCACACAGUGCGGGAGAUUUCUGCUUAAGAAAGCACAAGAUUCGACAUUACAAAUUUAACAAUCAUCCUAAAGCUAGCACUUAAGCGAACACUAUAAGAAAUAUGAAAUAGUGGAAUAUUACCUUUUUCUGGGCAGCGAAAUAGGACAACAAGUUCACGACGACUUCACCAACUUGCUUUUGAUUUGAAAAAAGACAAGGAAAAAUAAAACUUGAACCAAAAUUUUCAUAACUCCAGGUUGGGGACAGAAGUCCAAAUCCUAACCAAGUAGAGAAGUUUAGCCCUUUUUCGUUCGAAAAAAAAUCUUUAAACAAUAGAGAGAAGGAUUAAUAUGGAAAUUCAAAAAUCUCAAUUCUUGAGAAAUCGGUGAUGUGGGAUAGAGAAUGUCAAGGGUAUUUUUGAGAAUGUUGAUUGAGUACUUCAAAUUGAGGAUAAGAUUUGUUAAGCAAGUUGGAAUUGUACUGUUUUUGUAUGAAUUUGAAAUUCGAACGUUGGCUGAGCUGGACGGAUUGGGUCGGGUUUUGCUGUUGGAUUGUUGUUGUUUGAAUGUUGGUUUCUGGUGCGGGUUGGUUUUGCCAAAGCUCUUACGGUUGUACGUUUUGGUGUUGUACGACAUUUUUUGUUGUUA